RNAcentral lists this ribosomal RNA (523 nucleotides) under uncultured bacterium. RNAcentral describes it as "bacterial SSU rRNA". It matches the Rfam family "Bacterial small subunit ribosomal RNA", at positions 777 to 1308 of the family's 1533-position model. The record is from RNAcentral.
AAUAGAUACCCCGGUAGUCCACGCCGUAAACGAUGGAUACUAGCUGUUGGGCGCAAGUUCAGUGGCUAAGCGAAAGUGAUAAGUAUCCCACCUGGGGAGUACGAACGCAAGUUUGAAACUCAAAGGAAUUGACGGGGGCCCGCACAAGCGGUGGAGCAUGUGGUUUAAUUCGAUGAUACGCGAGGAACCUUACCAAGGCUUAAAUGCAGACUGACCGAUUUGGAAACAGAUCUUUCGCAAGACAGUUUACAAGGUGCUACAUGGUUGUCGUCAGCUCGUGCCGUGAGGUGUCAGGUUAAGUCCUAUAACGAGCGCAACCCCUGUUGUUAGUUGCCAGCGAGUCAUGUCGGGAACUCUAACAAGACUGCCAGUGCAAACUGUGAGGAAGGUGGGGAUGACGUCAAAUCAUCACGGCCCUUACGCCUUGGGCUACACACGUGCUACAAUGGCCGGUACAGAGAGCAGCCACCUCGCGAGAGGGAGCGAAUCUAUAAAGCCGGUCACAGUUCGGAUCGGAGUCUGC